RNAcentral lists this small nucleolar RNA (123 nucleotides) under Dasypus novemcinctus (nine-banded armadillo). RNAcentral describes it as "Small nucleolar RNA SNORA70 (ENSDNOG00000032166.1)". It matches the Rfam family "Small nucleolar RNA SNORA70". From Rfam's summary of the family: snoRNA U70 seems to be exclusive to mammals and is a member of the H/ACA class of snoRNA which contain H (ANANNA) and ACA box motifs. H/ACA box snoRNAs are involved in the conversion of uridines to pseudouridines (5-ribosyluracil) a constituent of structural RNAs (transfer, ribosomal, small nuclear, and small nucleolar). The record is from RNAcentral. Lineage: Eukaryota; Metazoa; Chordata; Mammalia; Cingulata; Dasypodidae.
CUGUAGCCAAUUAAGCCAACCGCCCCUUCUCCCAGUGGGCAGUGGCUGCGGAAGGCAGCCUCCUUGGCAGUGUACGCAGCCUGCUCCUUGUGCAGGUUGCCCUAAGGGACCGUGGAGACAGCC